This 785-nucleotide ribosomal RNA is filed under the name uncultured bacterium. RNAcentral describes it as "bacterial SSU rRNA". It matches the Rfam family "Bacterial small subunit ribosomal RNA", at positions 8 to 840 of the family's 1533-position model. The record is from RNAcentral.
AGAGUUUGAUCCUGGCUCAGAACGAACGCUGGCGGCAGGCCUAACACAUGCAAGUCGAGCGAGACCUUCGGGUCUAGCGGCGGACGGGUUAGUAACGCGUGGGAACGUACCCUUUUCUACGGAAUAGCCUUUGGAAACGAAGAGUAAUACCGUAUACGCCCUUCGGGGGAAAGAUUUAUCGGAGAAGGAUCGGCCCGCGUUAGAUUAGAUAGUUGGUGGGGUAAUGGCCUACCAAGUCUACGAUCUAUAGCUGGUUUUAGAGGAUGAUCAGCAACACUGGGACUGAGACACGGCCCAGACUCCUACGGGAGGCAGCAGUGGGGAAUCUUAGACAAUGGGCGCAAGCCUGAUCUAGCCAUGCCGCGUGAGUGAAGAAGGCCUUAGGGUCGUAAAGCUCUUUCGCCAGGGAUGAUAAUGACAGUACCUGGUAAAGAAACCCCGGCUAACUCCGUGCCAGCAGCCGCGGUAAUACGGAGGGGGUUAGCGUUGUUCGGAAUUACUGGGCGUAAAGCGCACGUAGGCGGAUUAGAAAGUUAGAGGUGAAAUCCCAGGGCUCAACCCUGGAACUGCCUUUAAAACUCCUAGUCUUGAGUUCGAGAGAGGUGAGUGGAAUUCCAAGUGUAGAGGUGAAAUUCGUAGAUAUUUGGAGGAACACCAGUGGCGAAGGCGGCUCACUGGCUCGAUACUGACGCUGAGGUGCGAAAGUGUGGGGAGCAAACAGGAUUAGAUACCCUGGUAGUCCACACCGUAAACGAUGAAUGCCAGUCGUCGGGUAGUAUACUAUU